Molecule: long non-coding RNA, 3210 nt
Organism: Pezoporus flaviventris
Lineage: Eukaryota; Metazoa; Chordata; Aves; Psittaciformes; Psittacidae
Exons: 3
Source: RefSeq, a predicted model, not a curated record
GUUUCUCUUUUCAGCUCUGAAGUGAAGAUUCACUUGGGAAGAAGAAAAGGCACAAAAUUUUGAGCUGGCCCUCUAAAUGAAGGUUGUGCAACCUGCACCUCCAAGGUCAGUCAAGCAUCUCUCUGAAGCCUCCAGCUCCAACUCUUUUGUUUCUUCAAGCAUGCAAGCUCACAGACACUCUUCCAGUUCUUUGAUGUAUUGUCUUCAAUUUUCAUUGUUAAAUGGACCCAUUGUGGACCUUUGCUCCCACAGGUAAAUAUGCAGUAUCUCCCACUUAAUGUCAAUGUUUCCAGAGUACCACAAAAGCUGUUAGAGGAAUUAAUCACUUUUUGAUUUCCAUGGGACAGUAGACAACAUGUGAGAGAGAACUUAGGCAAUGAUAUCUGUUAUUAUCACCCUUCUGAAACUCACCACUGCUGAGUGAAAAUGAGCUUUGUGAAGGUAAUGAAUUACUGGUCACCACAUGUGUUCCCUCAGUAUAACAUUAAGGGUAAAACUCAUCACUUUGAACAGCAUCAACAUGGUCUUGUGUAACACCAAUUCUCACUCACCCAUUUCUUUCAGAGGAGAUGAAAGAGGUAUCUGUUUACCCAGGAUACCCUGGGUUUGCAUUUCACCACUCCCAGAGCAAGUAAUGAUUUGCUGGACAACCAUCAGACUAGCCAGAGACGGACUUUCUGUGCUGCUAGGUAGCAUGGAGCUAUAGUGGCUCUGCACAUUGAGUGAGAAGUCAGAUAAAUUAUAACACCCAGUAUCACAGCAGUAAAAAUGACAAAAAUAAAUACCACAGUAUUUUAGUAGAGUUCUUUGCUGCUGCCUUUAGACAAAUAGUGUGCAAUCAAUUCAUAGAAUAAGAAAUAUCAGAAUACCCGUUAUACCAGAAUGUUGUAUUGCCCCCCAGAAAACCCAACGUAAGUUCCCCCCGAGGGCAUUUUAGAAUUGGUGAGGGAUAAAUUCAGAUAAAUGGUGGUGUCCAUUGUGUUAGACUCCACACACUGAAUACCUGGCAACUCGGAGACCAAAAGAUGUGCAAGAGCCAUGUUUGUGAGCAGACUUUUCUUGUUUGGCAGUACCUGAGAGCAUAACUAAGCUGGACAAGGAAUUUCAGUCUGGGUCUGUCUUCUCUGCUUAUGUGUAUGUAAAGGCGCCCAGGUGAUUUUCUUGGCACAGGGUUUGCAAGCACGUAGCUGCUGCAUCCUGUCACUGGAGACUAAGAAGCUGUGGCAGGUCAUCACAAAAAGAAUUAGCUCAUGUAUUUUGACAGGUGAAGCAAAAUAAAAUGAAAUAAUUUGACAGGAAGUGAAGCCAAAAUGCAACAAAGGGAUAGACUUGAAGGAAUAUCAGGUUACCAGAGAGGAAAACAACACAAGGAUGAGAAAUGUAUAAACAAAUAAAGAUAGAUAUUUUUAUAAAUCUGUUUCAACCUCAGUUGUUUGACUAGCUCAGAAUUCUUUGUCUCUUGGCCUGUUUGGGUAAGGCACUGCUACUGUCACAGUAAACACUUCCACUUCCUAACACAAAGUAAGGGAACUCCAAGAUCUCUUGCCAAGAUUUCUUUCAAAUCUGAACUGAGUGUGAAGCAUGAAAUAAGAAGGUCCACUUGAGUUUGGAGGGAGUCUAAAAUAAGAGCUCUAGGAAUUGGAAGCUGCUCUAUUAGUUUCAUUUCAGGCCCACGGACUGCAUAGGUUUGUGGCCAAGAAACUGCCAAUUGUGACUGCUAUUCCCUAAGGGAAGAAAGAGAAAUGCUAUAUGGGGCACAAAAGCAACAGUGGAUUUCUUAGCAUAUGGUCUUUUCCAGUGUGAGCUCAGCUAGCUUUCUGCUCUAAGAAAACAAGAGAGAGCUUUGCAACUAGUAUUACCAAGUGGCUAGAGACUUUAUUGACACUGUGGUGCUAGAAAAAACAUAGACAAGCAAAGGAGAAAAUUUAUCCGAAAUUACAGCAAAGAAAUGCAUUAGCAAAAGAAAAAAAAUUAUAAACUACACAGGCAGCAUGGAAAGCAACAGUGGGGUUUUCUCAUUAAAGAUGCUGACAACAUGAAAGUAGAAAAGGCAACAUGUCAAUACAGCUGUAGCUGGUCACAGAAGUGAAUAGCUGGCCUGUUUCUGAGGACCGCUGUUGUGAUCCUAGGGAACAGUGUACAGAUGCGUGGCAGUACCCAGCCUGUUCAGGUUACACCAGCCUGCAAGCCUCCAGCCAAACAGCCUGCCAUUUAGUGGUACAUAUUCCUCGGCUGCACACAGCACACACAGGCCAUCUGUGAGAAAACAGGAUUCCCUCCUGUGCCUGGGCAGUGGCAGUGACACCACCCAGGGACUGACAGACCACAAGCUAGCAUGCAGCAAGCUUCCGGAGGGCAGGGGAUAUAGCAGUAGAGGAGCUGUGAGAUUUGGUUUUGAUACCUUGAUACCCAGAGCCCCAGAAGUUUGCCUGAAGAAGCACGUCUCAUGUGUCAGUGGGUCUAAAACAUACAGGAGCCAGGAUCUCCAGUAUGAGAGUAGGUAAGAAGAGUAUGUGUCAUGGAGGUAGCUGAAGAGAUUAUGGGAAAGUUAAAAUAGAGUUUAAUGCUCUAUGUAUUUAGACAGGUGAAAGUGUGAUUUGGAGACCUGGGCAAAGGACUUCUGUGAAUAGGUUUGUUUUCUUUCAGAGAGUGUUUUAUAAUCUGAAAAUCUGAGUGGUUUGUUCUGAAAAUAUUACGUAUUAAGCACUUUGUUGUUAUAACUGUUGUUUAGACUUUGUUAUGAAUGCAUAUGAAAAAAUCCACUUGUUAUCUACUUUAUUUGGAUGAAUUGUUAUCUGACAUUAACAGGAAAUUUAGGCAGAGUCCCGCAGGAGUCAUCCCUUGCUGUAAGUGUGCAGUCUUAUUAAUCACUUUAAAAUGUUUCGUGGCUCUCAGAGUUGCCAAGAUCUCUUUUAAACCUGAACUGAGUGUGAAGCAAUGACGUAAGAAGGUUCACUUGAGUUUGGAGAGUCUAAAACAACAGCUCUAGGAAUUGCAAACUGCUCUACUGCUCUACUAGUCUCAUUUCAGGCCUAUGGACUGCAUAGGUUUGUGGCCAAGAAACAGACAAAAUGCCACAGAAGGAACACUUUCAUUUGGGAUUUGCCAUAACAACGUGGCUGGUGCCAAAGGUGGUGUGAUGGGAGGUAAGGAAAGCCCAAAGCCAUGUGCUGUGACAAUUAUCACACAUACCCAGCAUGGAUGUGUGGC